Molecule: long non-coding RNA, 2248 nt
Filed under: Sus scrofa (pig)
Lineage: Eukaryota; Metazoa; Chordata; Mammalia; Artiodactyla; Suidae
Description: lncRNA (ENSSSCG00065076233.1)
Source: RNAcentral
AGGCCCCGCUUCACGUGGGUGUCCUCAGCCAGGAAGAGAUGAGCCUCUUCCCUGCCCGGGUGCUGGGCACUUGGUCUGCCCCAGGUAACCCAGGGGGUGGUUAGUGGCAGAGCUGGGGCCAGCCCAGGAUCUGGACUCUUUAAGGGGGCCUCUGCUGUGCUGCUUGCCCAGGCUUGCAUGCUCUGAGGAACAGGCAGCACCCCGUGGGCAUGUCAGUUGCCCAGGGCUGGGCCCAGGCCUGGACGAGGGGCCAGGCGACCCUUGGUGCCGGGUAAGCAGAGCCCGGGUCUUCAGAGAUGGGCUUGUGACCAACACUAAGAUGGCAUUAAGGCAGCUCUCCCGUGGUCGACCUGCCUGACACAGCUCCUUCUGGGCCACACUUACCCCCGCAAGCCCUGUGGUCCCGUGCCUAUGGAGGGUGGUGAGGGCCCCGCCAGGGCUCCGAGGCCCGAGGUGAGAAGCCAGCGGGGCUCCAGGCCUGAGGGAGGGCGGAGCUGCUGCACCUGCAGGCUGGCAGAGCGAGCCUGGGUUUGGGGCCAGCACUGGGGAGGGUUUGUCUCCUUGAAGGUACUUGGUCGGUAGUCACAGGAGGUGGGGUGGGGCCGGGGAGCCGCGUGGGACCUCGGGAGGCCCUGUGGCUUUGGACCAAGGAUGGGCCUGAGGCCCUCAGGUUAGAAGGACAGGGUUUGGGAAAAGCGUCAGGCGGACUUGGUUAGACUGUUUACAUUGACAGGUCUGAGUUGCCCGGCACGUCCCCGUCCCAGGCAGCCACGGAUGGGCCCGAGGACCCAGGGCCAUGGGGCUCCUGUCCCUCUGAGCGAGGCUUCUCUCUGGGAUCCUCCUCCCUUGGCCCUGGGCCUGCAGGAUGGGCCUCGCCCGCACUUCCCAGCACUUGCUGCCCUUGAGCGGCACCCAGGGUGGGAGCCAGGCCACCCGGGCAGGCCCAGGAGGCCGGUAGAGCGGUGGCCCGGGGCCCGGCUCUGCAGCACUCUGAAGUCACCUGAGCAAGCAUCACUGGAGACCUGGCCCUGCCGGCAGGUGUCCUGGCUGCUCACCAGGGCCCUGUCUCCAUCCACAAACCCUGUGGUGCAGAGGGCGGUCUGUGGACUCAGUGGGGGCCGUCUGGGGGCCGAUGAGGACUGCGCCUCGGUGGGAUGGGCGCAGUGGGGGUGCAGCGGGAGGGGCUCCGGGAAGCGGGGGCCAGAGCCACGUCCUGGAGCCAGGCCGACGCAGGCCACUGCUCGCUGACAGAGGAACAGAUGCUUCUGGGGCCGUGGUUUGGGUUAAGUGUGGCGCUUUUCCUUUAACCUUAUUGCAAAAUAAUACGGGCUCCUCACAGGAACCGCCCCCCCCCACCUGUUGCUCCAAAAUGGUCACGUGUUGUCCAUUUUCAUUAGGGACACGAUGCGGAGCGUUUCCGCCCUUGGCUUCGGCCCCCGAGGUGACCGCACCGUGGGUGUUGCAUGCACUUCAGAUUCUGUCAUCGUUUCCUCUGCUUGCACAUUCCUUUUGAACAAGGGAGGUUUAUCCCUGCGGCCGGGUGGGCGUAGCACCCUGUCCUUAGCGCCCGCCCCCUGCCCUGCCAGGCCCUGCCAGGCCCUGCCUCUAGGCGCCCUUCCUCUGCUCUUGGGCUUCUUCCUCCCAGGGUCUGGCCGGUAACUAUUUAGAAAGUGAAGAAAAACCCUUAACAGCUGACCUCCGCUUCCUCUUCGGGAAAGGAGCACACUUUGGUGGUGGCGGCUGCAGGUGGCUCGGCCUGGCCAGGGAGGCCUGGCGGGCGCGUGCAGAGGCUCAGAGUGGGAGGCCGGGUCGCAGCCGUGGGGGGCGAGGAUGCCUGGGUGGAUGGUGGAUUUGAGCUUCUUUGUGCAGCUCCACGGCCCCAGGUCUCGGGUGAACUCUGCCCCCUGCUCCCCUGCAUGCGCCCCAUCCCCUUCCCUUUGCUGACUGGGAGCAGGCUUUGUCGGUUUUCCAGCCCCUGAGUCUUGUCUUCACGGCGACUGUGCUGUUUCCUUAAUGAAAUCCAAAAAUUUAAAAGCGUCCCCUUAAAAAACCCAAGCUCUCUGGCCGCUAGUCAACUCCCAAGUGCCUGCGGCUGUCUCACGCUAUAUCUCAGCCCCGCUGGGCGGCCAGGCUGCCUGUGGCUGUGGUCCUCGGGGCCCUGGCCCCGCUCCCGGGCCUCGGCUUGGGCUGGCGUGCGUGCGGCCCUCCCGCCUGCUGGGCGCUGUCCCGGGCUUGGUCUUUAGAUCUG